Molecule: long non-coding RNA, 195 nt
Organism: Amphimedon queenslandica
Lineage: Eukaryota; Metazoa; Porifera; Demospongiae; Haplosclerida; Niphatidae
Exons: 2
Source: RefSeq, a predicted model, not a curated record
GCUGAAAUGAUAUUAAUACUGUUUGCAUCUAUUGGGGUAGCACAAGUACUCCUCUUCUUAUGGAGAAUAAAACACAGGAAAUCCUACCAGGCCAUUACCUUAUUAGGCAUGUGGAUAAUUCCAUUUUAUUUGUGUGUUCGGUUGAGUUUCUGGAGGAUGAUCAUCGUAUGGUCAAUAUUCUCUGUUAUAACAUUA